RNAcentral lists this unclassified non-coding RNA (228 nucleotides) under Hevea brasiliensis (rubber tree). Lineage: Eukaryota; Viridiplantae; Streptophyta; Magnoliopsida; Malpighiales; Euphorbiaceae. The record is from RNAcentral.
CAGCCAGAUGUUUACAAGGAUGAUAACCAUAAGCCUGAGAUGGCUUUGGCCAUAACCGAGUUUGAGGCCCUUUGUGGUUUUAUCAGUCUUGAGGAGCUCAAAGGGGUACUUCAAAAUAUUCCUGAGAUUGUAGAACUGGUUGGCUGUACAGAUGCCAACCAAGUUUUACAUAUGAACGAGCAGGAUGGGGAGGAGAAAGUAAAAUCAGUCCUGAGAUCAAUUUUUAGC